UACGGAGGGGGCUAGCGUUGUUCAGAUUUACUGGGCGUAAAGGGCGCUUAGGCGGACCAUCAAGUCAGGGGUGAAAGGCCUGGGCUCAACCCGGGAAUUGCCUUUGAAACUGAAGGUCUAGAGUCCGAGAGAGGUUAGCGGAAUUCCCAGUGUAGAGGUGAAAUUCGUAGAUAUUGGGAAGAACACCAGUGGCGAAGGCGGCUAUCUGGCUCGGUACUGACGCUGAGGCGCGAAAGCGUGGGGAGCAAACAGG
This 253-nucleotide ribosomal RNA is filed under the name uncultured bacterium. Its description in RNAcentral is "partial 16S ribosomal RNA". It matches the Rfam family "Bacterial small subunit ribosomal RNA", at positions 524 to 776 of the family's 1533-position model. The record is from RNAcentral.